UCUAGAGCUACCACCUUUUUCACAGUUCUAAUUCCGAUGUUCGCAAUUACUGUUUUACUUCACUUUGACCAUUUAAGUAAUUCAAUUAAAUAGCAUUAUUUACAAAGAACACUUUUGGCCCUCUUUUAAAUUAAUUAAUGAAUUCUUUUAUAUUUUAUAGGUACUUUUAUCUGCCUGUUUCGUUUCACCAACAGUAUGGCAGCCUUCGCGAUAGCUUUUGGCGACGUACUUAUCGACCCCUUACCAAAUCGUAAAUUGUUGUUGCCGACGGCAACAUUUUGUUUGUCAAGUAUGAGCCUACUCGAUUGUCUUAAGAUUGGUUGUCGCUCGUUAUCGGACAACAACAGAAGAUUUUUAUUGUGCUUCAUCAAUACGUGUUCUGGCCUACACAGUGGUUUAUAGUAUAUGAUAAAAGAAUUAAUCAAUAAAUAACACAAAAUGUUCAAACCAAUAAAA
Long non-coding RNA from Drosophila yakuba, 456 nucleotides. RefSeq lists it as uncharacterized. The record is from RefSeq and is a predicted model, not a curated record. The transcript has 2 exons. NCBI's taxonomy places the organism in Eukaryota, Metazoa, Arthropoda, Insecta, Diptera, Drosophilidae.